GGGGAUUUGGCUCAGUGGUAGAGCGCUUGCCUAGCAAGCGCAAGGCCCUGGGUUCGGUUCCCAGCUCUG
Non-coding RNA from Rattus norvegicus (Norway rat), 69 nucleotides. The record is from Rfam. NCBI's taxonomy places the organism in Eukaryota, Metazoa, Chordata, Mammalia, Rodentia, Muridae.